GAGGCCUAACACAUGCAAGCCGAGCGGUAGAGAUUCUUCGGAAUCUUGAGAGCGGCGCACGGGUGCGGAACACGUGUGCAACCUACCUUUAUCAGGGGGAUAGCCUUUCGAAAGGAAGAUUAAUACCCCAUAAUAUAUUUGAUGGCAUCAUUAGAUAUUGAAAACUCCGGUGGAUAGAGAUGGGCACGCGCAAGAUUAGAUAGUUGGUGAGGUAACGGCUCACCAAGUCAAUGAUCUUUAGGGGGCCUGAGAGGGUGAUCCCCCACACUGGUACUGAGACACGGACCAGACUCCUACGGGAGGCAGCAGUGAGGAAUAUUGGACAAUGGGUGAGAGCCUGAUCCAGCCAUCCCGCGUGAAGGACGACGGCCCUAUGGGUUGUAAACUUCUUUUAUACUGGGAUAAACCUACUCUCGUGAGAGUAGCUGAAGGUACAGUAUGAAUAAGCACCGGCUAACUCCGUGCCAGCAGCCGCGGUAAUACGGNAGGGUGCAAGCGUUAUCCGGAUUUAUUGGGUUUAAAGGGUCCGUAGGCGGACUCGUAAGUCAGUGGUGAAAUCUCAUAGCUUAACUAUGAAACUGCCAUUGAUACUGCGGGUCUUGAGUAAAGUAGAAGUGGCUGGAAUAAGUAGUGUAGCGGUGAAAUGCAUAGAUAUUACUUAGAACACCAAUUGCGAAGGCAGGUCACUAUGUUUUAACUGACGCUGAUGGACGAAAGCGUGGGGAGCGAACAGGAUUAGAUACCCUGGUAGUCCACGCCGUAAACGAUGCUAACUCGUUUUU
RNAcentral lists this ribosomal RNA (782 nucleotides) under Chryseobacterium sp. RNAcentral describes it as "bacterial SSU rRNA". It matches the Rfam family "Bacterial small subunit ribosomal RNA", at positions 43 to 824 of the family's 1533-position model. Lineage: Bacteria; Pseudomonadati; Bacteroidota; Flavobacteriia; Flavobacteriales; Weeksellaceae. The record is from RNAcentral.